Molecule: non-coding RNA, 46 nt
Filed under: Schistosoma mansoni
Lineage: Eukaryota; Metazoa; Platyhelminthes; Trematoda; Strigeidida; Schistosomatidae
Source: RNAcentral
ACACUGCUGAGGAGUCCCACAAUAGGACGAAACGGCCGUUCAAUGC